This 628-nucleotide long non-coding RNA is filed under the name Mytilus galloprovincialis (Mediterranean mussel). Lineage: Eukaryota; Metazoa; Mollusca; Bivalvia; Mytilida; Mytilidae. The record is from RNAcentral.
CAACAAUGAAAAAAGUCAUAUGUUAUAGUCAGCUAUACAAGUCUUGAUAUCAAUAUAAGAAAAUUUUAAAUAAAGAUUGAUUCAAAUAUUGUCAUUUUCUGACUUGUAGGUAUCAUAACAGUCAUAUCCAAAAUUCAAAAACUGAGAGCUGAGAAUAGAAGAGAACAAAAACGCAAAUGGAAACAAAAGAGUAAAAAUGACCAAACAAAAGCAUUAUCAAAGUCUUCUUCUGCAAUCCGAAAAAGGAGACAGAGGGAAAAGGAUAGGAAUAGUAAAAUAGAAGAUAUAGAGAAAAGAGCAGCAACAACAAAAAGAAAGCACAAAUUUUAAAGUAGAACUAAAAAAAAAGAUCAAAUAUCAGCAAAAGAAAUAAUUGAACAGACCUUAAGGGGUAGAAAGACAAACAGACAGCGUAUAUGGAGGGAAAAACAAAAACAAAAACAGCCGAAAUCGCCAGUACAAUUGAAUUUGACCACGGCUGAAGACAAAAACGAUCCAUUUAAAAACAAAAUGAGCCGAAGCCGCGCGGUAAGAAAAUUGAAAAGAGCCUUACCUGUAAAAGUAAAAGAGUAGCUACAGUUAAAGCAUACCUUUCAACAAAUAAAUCGCCAACAGCAAUCGCACUGCA